Molecule: ribosomal RNA, 497 nt
Filed under: uncultured bacterium
Lineage: Bacteria
Description: partial 16S ribosomal RNA
Rfam family: Bacterial small subunit ribosomal RNA
Source: RNAcentral
GAUGAACGCUGGCGGCGUGCCUAAUACAUGCAAGUCGAGCGAACAGACGAGGAGCUUGCUCCCCUGACGUUAGCGGCGGACGGGUGAGUAACACGUGGAUAACCUACCUAUAAGACUGGGAUAACUUCGGGAAUCCGGAGCUAAUACCGGAUAAUAUAUUGAACCGCAUGGUUCAAUAGUGAAAGACGGUUUUGCUGUCACUUAUAGAUGGAUCCGCGCCGCAUUAGCUAGUUGGUAAAGUAACGGCUUACCAAGGCAACGAUGCGUAGCCGACCUGAGAGGGUGAUCGGCCACACUGGAACUGAGACACGGUCCAGACUCCUACGGGAGGCAGCAGUAGGGAAUCUUCCGCAAUGGGCGAAAGCCUGACGGAGCAACGCCGCGUGAGUGAUGAAGGUCUUCGGAUCGUAAAACUCUGUUAUUAGGGAAGAACAAAUGUGUAAGUAACUAUGCACGUCUUGACGGUACCUAAUCAGAAAGCCACGGCUAACUACGUG